GAUGAACGCUGGCGGCGUGCCUAAUACAUGCAAGUCGAGCGAACGGACGAGAAGCUUGCUUCUCUGAUGUUAGCGGCGGACGGGUGAGUAACACGUGGAUAACCUACCUAUAAGACUGGGAUAACUUCGGGAAACCGUAGCUAAUACCGGAUAACAUUUUGAACCGCAUGGUUCAAAAGUGAAAGACGGUCUUGCUGUCACUUAUAGAUGGAUCCGCGCUGCAUUAGCUAGUUGGUAAGGUAACGGCUUACCAAGGCAACGAUGCAUAGCCGACCUGAGAGGGUGAUCGGCCACACUGGAACUGAGACACGGUCCAGACUCCUACGGGAGGCAGCAGUAGGGAAUCUUCCGCAAUGGGCGAAAGCCUGACGGAGCAACGCCGCGUGAGUGAUGAAGGUCUUCGGAUCGUAAAACUCUGUUAUUAGGGAAGAACAUAUGUGUAAGUAACUGUGCACAUCUUGACGGUACCUAAUCAGAAAGCCACGGCUAACUACGUGCCAGCAGCCGCGGUAAUACGUAGGUGGCAAGCGUUAUCCGGAAUUAUUGGGCGUAAAGCGCGCGUAGGCGGUUUUUUAAGUCUGAUGUGAAAGCCCACGGCUCAACCGUGGAGGGUCAUUGGAAACUGGAAAACUUGAGUGCAGAAGAGGAAAGUGGAAUUCCAUGUGUAGCGGUGAAAUGCGCAGAGAUAUGGAGGAACACCAGUGGCGAAGGCGACUUUCUGGUCUGUAACUGACGCUGAUGUGCGAAAGCGUGGGGAUCAAACAGGAUUAGAUACCCUGGUAGUCCACGCCGUAAACGAUGAGUGCUAAGUGUUAGGGGGUUUCCGCCCCUUAGUGCUGCAGCUAACGCAUUAAGCACUCCGCCUGGGGAGUACGACCGCAAGGUUGAAACUCAAAGGAAUUGACGGGGACCCGCACAAGCGGUGGAGCAUGUGGUUUAAUUCGAAGCAACGCGAAGAACCUUACCAAAUCUUGACAUCCUUUGACAACUCUAGAGAUAGAGCCUUCCCCUUCGGGGGACAAAGUGACAGGUGGUGCAUGGUUGUCGUCAGCUCGUGUCGUGAGAUGUUGGGUUAAGUCCCGCAACGAGCGCAACCCUUAAGCUUAGUUGCCAUCAUUAAGUUGGGCACUCUAAGUUGACUGCCGGUGACAAACCGGAGGAAGGUGGGGAUGACGUCAAAUCAUCAUGCCCCUUAUGAUUUGGGCUACACACGUGCUACAAUGGACAAUACAAAGGGCAGCGAAACCGCGAGGUCAAGCAAAUCCCAUAAAGUUGUUCUCAGUUCGGAUUGUAGUCUGCAACUCGACUACAUGAAGCUGGAAUCGCUAGUAAUCGUAGAUCAGCAUGCUACGGUGAAUACGUUCCCGGGUCU
RNAcentral lists this ribosomal RNA (1372 nucleotides) under uncultured bacterium. RNAcentral describes it as "bacterial SSU rRNA". It matches the Rfam family "Bacterial small subunit ribosomal RNA", at positions 28 to 1381 of the family's 1533-position model. The record is from RNAcentral.